UCGCGCAGGCGAAGCGACGCGCCCGCCCUGCCCUCGGGGGAAGGGGCUCGGAGGGCGGGUCCUCUGUUUACAUUAUUCACUAUAUAUCCCUUAUUUAUUUACUGUUUAUUUAUUGUUGCCGUUUGCUUGUACAGCCCUAGAAUGACGGGGUUGUGCCCUAUUGAAAUGCCAUGGGUGGGACACGAAUAAGUCCCGUUAUGGGAAUCCGACCUGAGGAAGGGGGAGAGACUGUUUGGCAAUGAUCGAGGAAUGUUGUUGUUAAUAUUAUUUAUUGCAUUAAGAUAUCCCGCCUAUUUUUCUUCAAGGAGCUCAAGGUUCUCUCUGCCCCCCUUCCUUCCUUCUCAUUUAAUCCUCCACGACAACCCUGUGAGGUAGGUCAGGCUGAGAAAAGGAAGCGACCGUGGCCCAAGGGCAAAACCAGUGAACUUAACGAUGGCCGAGUGUGUGCGGGGAUUCGAAACCUGGUCUCCCCUAGGCCAGAGCUGGACACUUUUAAGCAUUGCGGCACCCUGGCUCUCAAGCAGACUAGUUUGUGUCUGUCCCGAAUCCUCUCUCUCAGCCUCUUGGGACGAGCUUUGCUUGUAGUAUUAUGUUGAGGCUUUUCCUAACCACUCUCUCCACAAAUAAUGUUUAAUAUGCCUCUUUGUCACAGGGAGUAAACCAGUCUUUUUCAACAGUGGGUGUGUUACAGGAUUUGAAAAAGCUGUGGGCGCCAGUCACAAAAUGGCUGCCAGAGAGUGGAGCAGAAGCAAGCAGUUUGUAUGCUGUCACAAUGCUGCAGUGGAGCUUUGCAGAUAUUCAGAGCGGCCCUUGCCACCUGCUUUGUAUUGUGCUGUUCUUCUCCCAAUAUUGUAUUCCCUACCACCACCACCGUCUUCCAAGAGAUCACUCUUUCUCCCCCACAGUGAUGGAGUAAUUGUCCUGCACAUGAGUGACAAAAGCACAGGUUGGCUAAUCACUGUCUUGCAGCAAACAUGAAAUACAAUUCAGGUUUCUAGUGCAUCUUUACAUUGUUAUCUCUCUUGAUUGUAGAAGUUCAGCUACAAACCUGGAGAAGGAGGCGGCAGCUCUUCUGAGUUCUAUGCAGAUGAAGUUCAUUUAUAACAAUGAUGCAGGAUAAGAGCCUUCUCUGUGGUGGUGCCCCAUUUGUGGAAUGCCCUCUCUUUAUGGGUUCAUCAGGCACCAACACUUGUUUCAGGAUAAAGCAAAGCUAUACAGUGUUGGUGUCUAAGGACGUACCAAGGCCAGCAUUCCAGGUCUCUGGAAAUCUGCUCAAGAAGACGGCCACCCUGUUUUCAUACUGUCAGGGAUCUGUUGGCUGAGAAGGGGGAAGAGAUUGGAAUGUACAGGGAGCCGCCUCCUUUAAUGAGCAGCUGCACUUCCUCCGAGAGAGAAGAGGAGGAGGAGCUGUCAGGAAACACGGAAACAGAGUGAAAGGAACAGCCUCCAAAGCUUGGAUUUUUAUGUAGGGAGAGGAGGAAAAGUGGAAACGGAAACGGAAACGGAAAAGACAAGAGCCACUUCCGGCAUCUGAUAGCGACUGAGGAAGACAUGCUUUUAAGAGCUCUGGACUGUACAUAGUUUUUGGACUUAAUAAAUCUUGUAAAAGCUGG
This is a long non-coding RNA of Podarcis muralis (Common wall lizard), 1613 nucleotides long. RefSeq lists it as uncharacterized. The record is from RefSeq and is a predicted model, not a curated record. Lineage: Eukaryota; Metazoa; Chordata; Lepidosauria; Squamata; Lacertidae.